RNAcentral lists this transfer RNA (73 nucleotides) under Stegodyphus mimosarum. It matches the Rfam family "tRNA". From Rfam's summary of the family: Transfer RNA (tRNA) molecules are approximately 80 nucleotides in length. Their secondary structure includes four short double-helical elements and three loops (D, anti-codon, and T loops). Further hydrogen bonds mediate the characteristic L-shaped molecular structure. tRNAs have two regions of fundamental functional importance: the anti-codon, which is responsible for specific mRNA codon recognition, and the 3' end, to which the tRNAs corresponding amino acid is attached (by aminoacyl-tRNA synthetases). tRNAs cope with the degeneracy of the genetic code in two manners: having more than one tRNA (with a specific anti-codon) for a particular amino acid; and 'wobble' base-pairing, i.e. permitting non-standard base-pairing at the 3rd anti-codon position. The record is from Rfam by way of RNAcentral. Lineage: Eukaryota; Metazoa; Arthropoda; Arachnida; Araneae; Eresidae.
GCCUUCGUGGUGUAGUGGUCAGUACGCUCGACGCGUAACCGAGAGGUCCGUGGUUCGAUUCCCGGUGAAGGCG